UACGAAGGGGGCUAGCGUUGUUCGGAAUUACUGGGCGUAAAGCGCGCGCAGGCGGUUCUUCAAGUCAGCGGUGAAAGCCCGGAGCUCAACUCCGGAAUUGCCAUUGAAACUGUGGAACUUGAGGAUGAGAGAGGUGAGUGGAAUUCCCAGUGUAGAGGUGAAAUUCGUAGAUAUUGGGAAGAACACCGGUGGCGAAGGCGGCUCACUGGCUCAUUUCUGACGCUCAGGCGCGACAGCGUGGGGAUCAAACAGG
RNAcentral lists this ribosomal RNA (253 nucleotides) under uncultured bacterium. RNAcentral's name for it is "partial 16S ribosomal RNA". It matches the Rfam family "Bacterial small subunit ribosomal RNA", at positions 524 to 776 of the family's 1533-position model. The record is from RNAcentral.